Molecule: non-coding RNA, 2119 nt
Organism: Benincasa hispida (wax gourd)
Lineage: Eukaryota; Viridiplantae; Streptophyta; Magnoliopsida; Cucurbitales; Cucurbitaceae
Source: RefSeq, a predicted model, not a curated record
CCUAUUAUAUAAUAUCCAGCAGAUUACUGUGCAACGCGACACAGAUUAUCGUAACCGUACCAUAUAUUUACUUGUGCUACCAACCUUCGAUCUCGAAACCCUAACAUUCACACUUCGGUGGCCUCUGCGUUUCCUCCUCAACAGAUCGAAUUCGAGGGAAAAUGAGUAGCCGUGCUAGCAGAACAGUCUAUGUCGGAAAUCUUCCGGGUGAUAUUCGUGAAAAAGAAGUGGAAGAUUUGUUCUACAAGUAUGGUCGCAUAGCCCACAUUGAUCUCAAGGUUCCACCUAGACCACCUGGUUAUGCAUUUGUUGAGUUUGAAGAUGCCGAAGAUGCUCAAGAUGCGAUUCGUGGUCGCGAUGGCUAUGAUUUUGAUGGCCAUAGAUUGCGCGUGGAACUUGCUCAUGGUGGUCGUGGUCAUUCAUCAUCUAGUGAUCGCUACAGUAGUCAUGGAGGCAGCCGAGGUGGGCGUGGAGUAUCUCGACGCUCUGAUUAUCGUGUAUUAGUCACAGGAUUACCUUCUUCUGCUUCAUGGCAAGACUUAAAGGAUCACAUGAGGCGAGCUGGGGACGUUUGUUUCUCCCAAGUGUUUCGUGAUGGUAGUGGGACCACAGGGAUUGUAGAUUACACCAACUACGAUGACAUGAAGUAUGCUAUUAAGAAACUUGAUGACUCUGAGUUCCGGAAUGCAUUUUCCCGGGCAUAUGUUCGUGUGAGAGAAUAUGAUUCAAAGAGGGAUCUCUCCAGGAGUCCCAGUCGUGGGCGGUCAUACUCUAGAGGGAGGAGUUAUAGUCGCAGCCGUAGUAGAGGCCGUAGUAGGAGCAAGAGCCACAGCAGGAGCAAGUCUCCAAAAGCUAAAUCUUCCCAGCGGUCCCCUGUUAAAUCUCGAUCAAGGUCUGCUUCCCCUGCACGCUCACGAUCAAAGUCAUCAUCUCUCUCAGGGGUCUGUUUGUUGCACCCGUCUUUCAUUGGCCAGAAUGUUAGACUGGGUGAAAUAAACAACAUUAAAGUACUGAAAGUGAACUAAUUCUUUUGUAUUGCUCAAGCACGGGUCAGCAACUGGUUUAAAAUUUAUCAAUGGAUUUGAUAUUACCUUUCUGGAUGCUAUGUGUUUGCAUGCGGUAUUGUGGCUUGUACAAUUCUCUUGAAUGUGAAACCCACUUUCUUCCAAAGUCUUGGAUGCACUCUUGGAAUGGUGGAGAUGAAUACUGGACAGACUUCAAAUUAGUCUGGCAAUGUGUGGGACCCUCUAUUGGAAUGUUGGGUAAACUUUAUCCUAUUUGACUCAAGUUAUUACUAUUUUACAUCUGAUUCUAUUUUCUUUUUAAUAACACUUCGUCCUGGCCUUCCCCUUUAUCAAUUGUGAAUAUUUUUGUUCAACAACUGGGAUAGCUAAGAAAUGAAUCGAUUUCUUUCAUUCAUUGUCCUUUUUGUGUGUGAAAAUUACUUGUUUGUUUUUUAGAUAUGGAAAUAUGCAGCAUACUGGGGAUUGGAUAUUAGGAUCUUGAUGGGAUAUGAUUCAAUUGCCUUCAAUGCUUUUGGUUGAGAAGGUAUGCUGUUUUUUAGAUGGGCAGCUUUCAAAACCUUCUGGUACCUCUGUUCUAAUGCUUUUAGCAAUGCAAUGUCCAUGGGUGCUAGAUUGGGAUCAAAGGAGAUCAUGGAUUGCCAUAAUAGAGCUGGAUAUCUUGAACUAAGUGCUAUUUGGACUUGGAAGUCAUCAUCACUUUCAUUUACAUUUUCUGCUGCAAGAUUUGCCAAGCUAUAGGACGCACUAUCUGGAUUCAUUGUGGACUUUUUGAGGCACAGUAGGGAAGAAUGCUCCUCUCCCGUCCACUGGUGUCUAUAAUAUAUAGUUUCCUGGAGAUUAAAGUUUUCUAAUUUUAGGUCUUGGCUUUUGGAGUCUUAAGUUUUGAAUUGGCAUAUACUCUUCAUAGUUGAACUGCUAAAAUAUUAUUUUCCCUUCUCUACUUAUACACUCUGGAUGAGGCGUCAGGCUUUUGGAUCAAAUUUGGUUAAAGAGACGUGGAUUUUAAAUUUGAGUUGUUUCUGGACCUUUUGCAGAUCGCGAUCAAGAUCCAGGUCUCCAGUGCCCAAUCGUGAGAAACGGACUAGUAAAAGUCC